RNAcentral lists this ribosomal RNA (253 nucleotides) under uncultured bacterium. RNAcentral's name for it is "partial 16S ribosomal RNA". It matches the Rfam family "Bacterial small subunit ribosomal RNA", at positions 524 to 776 of the family's 1533-position model. The record is from RNAcentral.
UACGGAGGAUUCGAGCGUUAUCCGGAUUUAUUGGGUUUAAAGGGAGCGUAGGCGGGUUGUUAAGUCAGUUGUGAAAGUUUGCGGCUCAACCGUAAAAUUGCAGUUGAUACUGGCAUCCUUGAGUACAGUAGAGGUAGGCGGAAUUCGUGGUGUAGCGGUGAAAUGCUUAGAUAUCACGAAGAACUCCGAUUGCGAAGGCAGCCUGCUGGACUGUAACUGACGCUGAUGCUCGAGAGUGUGGGUAUCAAACAGG